CUCUUUCUCUUUAUUUAUUUGACUGCACCAUCUGCCAAAACAUCAAAACAAACAAAACAUAUUUUUACCAUGUUGUGAUUGUAGCAUAUUUUACUUCAUUACAAAAGUACAGGCAAUUCAUUGUAUGUCAUGCAAGGCUGUUCAGAGCAUGGGGGCGGGGAGAGGUGUUUCAAGAAAUUAGGAAAACAAUUCCAUUUACAAUAUCAUCAGGAAGAGUAAAAUAUUUAGGAAUAAACUCAACUGAAAACUAUAAAAUAUUGCUGAAAGAAAUUAAAGAAGACACAAAUAAUUGAAAAGACCUUUCACAUUCAUGGAUUGGAAGGCUCAAUAUUGUUAAGAUGGUGAUACUACCAAAAGUGAUCUACAGAUUUAAUGCAAUCCCUAUUAAAACCCCAAUGCCAUUUUUUUGCAGAAAUAGAAAAAUCUAUCCUAAAAUUCACAUGGAAUCUCAAAGGACCUCAAAUAGCCAAAACAAACUUAAAAAAAGAAGAACAAAGUUGGAGGCAUCACACUUUCUGAUUUGAAAACUUCUUACAAAGCUACAAUAAUCAAAACAAUGUGGUCCUGGCAUAAAGACAGACAUAUAGACCAAUGAAAUAGAACAAAACCCCAGAAGUAAACCCUUAUGUACAUGGUCAAAUGAUUUUUGACAAGGGUGCCAGGUUCAUUCAAUGGUGAAAGGACAGUUUUUUCAACAAAUGUUGUUGGGAAAAGUGGACAUCUUUAUCUUACAUCAUAUACAAAAGUUAACAUAAAAUGGAUCAAAAACCUAAACAUAAGAGCUAAACCGUAAAACUCCUAGAAGAAAACAUAGUGGGAAAGCUUCAUAACUUUGGAUUUGGCAAUGAUUUCUUGGAUGUGACACCAAAAGCACAAGCAGCAAAACAAAAAUAGAUAAAUUGGAAUUCAUCAAAAGUUAAAACUUCUGGGCAUCAAAGGACACAAUCAAUAUAGUGAACAGGCAACCCAUGGAGUGGGCGAAAAUAUUUGCAAAUCAUAUAUUUAAUAAGGGAUUAAUAUCUAGAAUAUAUAAGGAACUCCUGCAACUCCACAACAAAAACAACAAAACCCCCAAUUUAAAAAUGGAUAAAGGACCUGAAUAGACAUUUCUCUAAGGAAGAUACACAAAUGGCCAGUGAGCACACGAAAAUGUGUUCAAUAUCACUAGUCAUUAGAACAAUGAAAAUCAAAAUCACAACAAGAUGCACCUCACACCCAUCAGGAUGGCUACUACCAAGAAAACGAGAGAAUGACAAGUUUUGGUGAAGACUCAGAAGUUGGAACCCUUGUGCACUGCUGUUGGGAAUGUAAAAUGGUGCAGUCAUUAUGGAAAACAUUAUGGUGGCUCCUCAAAAAAUUAAAAAUAGAGUUAUCACAUGACCUAGCAACCCCACUCCUGGGUAUCUACCCAAAAGAAUUGAAAGCAAGGUCUUAAAGAGAUAUUUGUACACCCACGUUCCCAGCAGCAUUAUUCACGAUAACCAAAAGGUGGCAGCAACCCAAGCGUCCCUCAGUGAAAGAAUGAAUAAACAAAAUGUGAAUAUACAUACAGUGGAAUAUCAUUCAGCCUUAAAAGGAACAGAAAUUCUGGCAUUUGCUACAACGUGGAUGAACCUGGAAGACAUCAUGCUGAGUGAAAUAAGCCAUUCACAGAAAGACAAACACCAUUCCUAUGAGAGCUAGCACCUCCCUCCUUGCUUGAAGACAAUGCAGAGGCCUCUUCCCUUCGAGUCAGCUUGUGUCCCCGACCCCCAGGAGGUGCCCCACCUCUUCUUCUGGCCACCAGGUAUACAACUAGAUGAAGGCUCAGAGAAAAUCCCAUUCACCAAGGCCGUAAUGUACCUGCAUCACCAGGAAGCUCCAUGGUGGCCCCCCUCUGCAGACAGUGGGAGAGGUUUCUACAGAGCUGGGCUCGCUGAACGCAAGAGGGAUGAUAGGACCCUGGAACAAGAGUGGCUAUGUGGUGACGCAACUCUCAGAAAUCAGGUGAAUGCAAUGAUCAUAAUCAGCAAAAAGCUCAGAGGGGCAAUCAAGGAAGGCUGGACCACAGAAUGUGAUGGAGAUGGAGACCACAUCCCCAGGGGCAAAAUACCUGUCAACAAGAGCACUACGCAACUUGUGCCAUUGGAAGAAAUCGAGGAUGGAUAUUCAGGAGGCCGGUGGUGGGUACCGCAAUAAAAGUCCCAAUAACUUGCCCCAGAGUUGGAAAACUCUGAACCCCUUGACUGAGAGGAGGGCCAGGUCUCCAAGAAAAAGGACCAUGCAACACCUGGGUGAAUGGGCACAGCCAAGAUACCUUGAGGUCUUCCUCAAAGGGAUCUAAGGACUCAGGGAACUCUUCACCAGGAAAAGGGGAAUAUCAAGUUUUUGGAGAACUGCGGGAGGUGACUGAUAUGUGGAGACCUGAAGAGUCAUCAUGGCCCUCUCGCUCUGUUGUGUGGGACAGAGGGCAGCCAAGCAAUAAGUAAAAUCUUGCCUGUGGUCUGGUGGCUCACAGUGGUUUCAAUAGGUCCACAGAUCCAAUCAGUUGUCGUUUCCCCCAUCUCCAAAUGUAUAACCGGGGUAGAUAUUCUCAGAACUUGGCACAACCUUCACAGUGGGUCUUUGGCCUGUGGGAUGGGAGCUUUCAAUGGGGAAAGCCAAGUGGAAUUUUCUAAAGCUACCCCCAUUCACAUAGCCAAGAUAGCAAAUAAAACAUGUGUAUGAUAUAUAUUUCAUCCUGGGGGAAGGAAGAAUAUGGGGGCAGUGAGGAGAGGGGACUAUGGGAUGUAUAAGAGGAGAGAGGGGCAGAUGGCUGAAGUUAGUGCUACCCUUAGGGAUCUAAAAGGUAGCAGGUUGGUUCUCCCUGUUAUAUCUCCAUUUAAUUAACCUGUCUGGCUCCUGAAGGAUCCAGGUUGGUCCUGGAGGCCAAGAGUGGACGACGGCAACUCAACCAAGUAGCCCGCCCAAACUGGGCCCAAUGAGGUAUUCUUGCUAGAGCAGAUUCACACAGCCUCCAGUACAUGGGAUGCAACCAUGGGUUUGGUAAAUGUGUUCUCUAUGGCUGUCAGAAAGGAGAUCAGAAAGAGUUUGCAUCUGCUUGAUACAUUUCUUUGCAGUUCACAAUACACAUUCACACUUUUGCCCCAGGGCUAUCUUAACUAUGCCUGAAGAAGUGUGGACCCAUGAGACAUCAUGCAGAACACCGACCCACUACAUCAAUGAUCUUUCCUAGGGAUCCCUGAGAUCCUGACUCCCUGUCAUGGGAUCUGGAGUAACAGCGCCGUGGACCAGGGCAUCUACUUGGUAAUGAAAGAAAUGAGCAUACAACUACAGAAUCUGCUGGCCCAUAAGCCCUAUAAACCAAAAUCUAAGGACCUGACAGAAGGUUGAGAUGCAUUCCUGGGCUACUGCCAGGACUCCACCUUGGGGUGACACCCUGCAAGGACACUGUACAACACAUGGAAUAUUCUUAGGCCUUUAUUUGGUUCCAAAGUGUUUAAAUUAUACUGAAACAGAAACAAGAGGCUGGGAUCUGCCUCUAAUAUUUUAAUAUGUUUAAUUUUUUGGCUUUUAACGAUGAUCUGAAAAGACCACCCAGCAGAAGAGUGAAAGUAGAGAACAAUGACAUUAAAUUUAAAACAAAUCAUUGUAAUUCACAGGUUAGCCUGCAGAUGGUGCCAUAUUACUACUUUUUCUCUUUGCUUUUUCUUCGCUUUAAACCAUCACCUUGACUGCCGUGGGUCAGUGUCCGUCUGGUUGUGACAAACGGGAAGGCAGGCCACAGUCACUGAUUCUCAAAACAUUUGGAGUGGAUUUUAUACUGUCUGAUGUGCAAUCUUCCUUCAAAGAAAGAUAGAUGGUAUUGCUAAUAAAAUUAAAACAGCUCCAAGAAUGGCAGAAUGUAAUGGAAUUUAGGGAGCCUUCUGUCUAACUAUCAGCAGAUAAGAAAGUUAUUUCCUCAAAAUAAUACAGCCAGUAAUUGUCAGGGACAAGCCUCUGCUUCUGACCUUCAGUCACAAGUUAGCCUUAGUUCUGUUACCCCGUUAUUGUCUUCUCACAGGUUAGGGUAAACAUUAUCUCGAGAAUUUGAGAACAUCCUUAUUGGAGAUAGUUUUUAAACCCUGGUUGGCAAUAAUUAACACCCUUGAAUGGGCAGUAGAUUGUACAAACACCACAUGGAAAUGUCAUUGCUUGAUUACAGCAAAGUAAAAAGCCACUAGUCUACAGACUCAGAUUAAAUAUGGAAUAACACAUUUAAGAAACCAGAGAGUAUUUAUGAUUAAGAAGUGGGAAGGAGGAUUAUGGGAUGUGUAAGGGUGGAGGCGGCACAAUUAACGUAUUUUUUGUGCCAUGCACAGUUGUACAUGUUUCUGGGAAAAUAACAGAUCCAAUUAAUUAAUCUUGUCCAUUGGCAGAGUGGGCAAUGAAAUAUACAGUAUGGCUUCAGGGGCACUGGAAAGUAUUCCUGAAUCAUUUGCUCUUAAGUUGAGUUCAAGUUUUUCUGCCCAUUGUGGUACCAUUAAGGCUUAUCGAGAUGUGGGGUCCUGUGUACUAGGUGGGCACUGGUGAAAUGUGACCGUAAGGCGGAGAUUCUCAUACUUUUUGUUUAGAAGAACACUCUACGGUAUUAAAAGUUAUUAAGCACCCCAAAGAGCUUUUGUUUUUGUGGGUUACCGCCAUCGAUAUCCACCAUAUUAGACAUUAAAACAGAAAAA
Long non-coding RNA from Equus caballus (horse), 4697 nucleotides. The record is from Ensembl. NCBI's taxonomy places the organism in Eukaryota, Metazoa, Chordata, Mammalia, Perissodactyla, Equidae.